RNAcentral lists this ribosomal RNA (459 nucleotides) under uncultured bacterium. RNAcentral describes it as "partial 16S ribosomal RNA". It matches the Rfam family "Bacterial small subunit ribosomal RNA", at positions 338 to 795 of the family's 1533-position model. The record is from RNAcentral.
CCUACGGGUGGCAGCAGUGAGGAAUAUUGGUCAAUGGUCGGGAGACUGAACCAGCCAAGCCGCGUGAGGGAUGAAGGUACAGAGUAUCGUAAACCUCUUUUGUCAGGGAACAAAGGCGGGGACGUGUCCCCGGCUGAGUGUACCUGACGAACAAGCAUCGGCUAACUCCGUGCCAGCAGCCGCGGUAAUACGGAGGAUGCGAGCGUUAUCCGGAUUUAUUGGGGUUAAAGGGUGCGCAGGCGGUCUGUUAAGUCAGCGGUCAAAGCCCGUGGCUCAACCCCGGCCCGCCGUUGAAACUGGCAGUCUCGAGUUGGAGAGAAGUAUGCGGAAUGCGCGGUGUAGCGGGGAAAUGCAUAGAUAUCGCGCAGAACUCCGAUUGCGAAGGCAGCAUGCCGGCUCCACACUGACGCUGAGGCACGAAAGCGUGGGUAUCGAACAGGAUUAGAUACCCCUGUAGUC